Molecule: non-coding RNA, 996 nt
Organism: Rattus norvegicus (Norway rat)
Lineage: Eukaryota; Metazoa; Chordata; Mammalia; Rodentia; Muridae
Source: RefSeq, a predicted model, not a curated record
CUUCCAGGGUGGAGUGACACUGGGCUGAGAUCACCAGCCCCACAGGUCUUGGCAGAACCGUGUUGCAGGUCUAAUUUGUAUGGCAGGGGCAUCCUACUCCCUGGCCAUAGUCCUGGCAUGGCAGCUCUCCCAGGAAAGCAGAGAACAAGGAGCUUUGUCCUGUCACAAAUGGGGACACAAAAGCCCGGAAACAUGGGCUGACUAUAAGGAGGGGGCACCUGUGUGGCCCUUUGGCUUGUGGGGGACCCCUGCCUGGAGACCCCUGCCUGUUGCCAAGGAGCCUAUGGCCUCGCACCUCCCUGGACCCCAGACCACAAGCCCCAGGGUGCAGAGAGCUUUCGCUUUGCAGCCAACUGCACACAGUCUUGACUCAAAAGACCUGUCUCCAAGGAAACGGGCCUUCCUGUCCAUGGGCCCAGUGUCCAAAGGGGACAGAGCGGGGAUAUCUGGUUCUGGAAGGACCCACACAGUAUCGUCACUCCUUAUAAGCCCGAGGGUGCAGGGGAGGGGCUAGGUGUCACCAUCUCCCGCCUAGAAACCAUGCUUUUGCACGUGGUGAUGUGUGAGACUUGUGUGAACACACAUUCACUGUCAUGGCUGGGUGGAGAAUUUAAACACAGACAGCACUGCAUCCCUCUUGCCAGUCCCGUGCCACACUCUGCCACUUCCAGCUCAUCCUGCCACCCAAGGACUACAGGCUGGAGCGGAGGAUGUGUGCUCUUUGCGUGUGCCUUGUGCUGAUCCCUCUGACUUUCGAUGCAGUCAUUGCGAAGGGGCUGGAGAGAUGGCUCAGCGGUUAAGAGCACCCGACUACUCUUCCAGAGGUCCAGAGGUCCAGAGGUCCUGAGUUCAAUUCCCAGCAACCACAUGGUGGCUCACAACAAUCUGUAAAGAGAUCUGAUGCCCUCUUCUGGUGUGUCUGAAGACAGCUACAGUGAACUUAUAUAUAAUAAAUGAAUAAAUCUUUAAAAAAUUGUUUCAAAAGGUAAAGAAAAA